RNAcentral lists this non-coding RNA (19 nucleotides) under Arabidopsis thaliana (thale cress). Lineage: Eukaryota; Viridiplantae; Streptophyta; Magnoliopsida; Brassicales; Brassicaceae. The record is from RNAcentral.
GUUGGUGGAGCGAUUUGUC